CCGGUCACGUCCAAGGACGUCAACGGAUAGGAGAGUUAAGAAAAACAGAAAAUCCAGUGUUCCUCACUUUCAAAUUCAAUUCAUAUCCGACCGAAAAAACGUUUGAAUGAUGUUUACCGACGUGGUGUCCCAUCUGUUGUUUCAAAAAAAAAUUAAGCCCAAAAUUGUUCAGACAUCUCUAGAAUUAACUACUCUAAUGCGGAAGAAAAUGAAAUGAUGCAGGGUAUAUUUCAGCGUGUUUACCCAAAUGUAUGGUCAUGGAUCACAGGUAGCUAUGACUGUAAUUCUUGGCGUUUGUCCGAAUAUUUCUCGUUGCUGUUUUUCUAAGAAUUUUUUAAUUAAGUGAUUUUGGGCUAAUUGAUAAUACAGCACAAGCCGCAGUAGGAGAGCGAUAAUUUAGUUCUACAUGCUGAAAAAUUACCUCGCUUACCGCACUCGUCCUAUGAUGGCAACAUUAAAAUGGGCUGUUCUAUGCAAGGGGUAGGACAGAGAGGGGAGGAUGGAUGCUACCGCUUCUGAGGGUUUUCAUUAGAUAACACAGCCACAAUGUCAAAUUUGGCUGUAUGUUAAACAUUCAUGAUAGAAAAAUGUACGGUUAGGGUUAGAUUUAAAAUCAGAUUUUAGAGAAUACGUUAUAGAAAUAGGCGGAGUUUAGGACUUCAGGCGGAGUUUAGGAGUUGUGGCUGCAUAUGACCACUGUUUUAGAGCGUCAAUUGAGAUUUCGAGAUAGUGCUGAAAAGACUUCUGCAUUACUUAUAAUACUUGUACAGCCGAAUCCGUCUAAAAAGAAAAUGGUUCGAAUCGAUUAUUUGCCAUUCAGUAAGCCAAUAGGGGAAUGAAGAACCACUUCAAAUAAGGAGGACAUGAGGUCUUGGCCCACACUUCUCGAGUACCAGGCUCUAAAGAUUCGUUGCUGCCACUGCCCAAAGUCCUCCUUGCUGUGUUGCAGAUCAAGAUGAUACCUGACGAUUCCAGCUGCCAGUUUGAUAACCACCCCCCCUCCACCCGGGUUUUCCCUGUCCUUGUCCAUCUGGUCAUGCUUCUGACCUGGCUUAGGACUUAUAGACUCUGGACACAACCCAAAUGCAUUUACUAAUUAUUACAACUUGUACUCUUAAAAUGUUCACCCGGCACAGCCAGAAGAGGAUUGGUCACCCCACUGAGCUUGGUUCCUUUCUAGGUUUCUUCCUAAAUUUCGGCCCCUCUUAGGGGUUUUUUCCUAGCCAUUGUGCUUCAACACUGUUGUUGCUUGCUCCUUGGGGUAUCAGGCUGGGUGUUUUGUAAAAGCACUUUGUGUCAACUGUUGAUGUAAAUACAUUUUGUUUGUUUGAUUGAGGUACAUUAACAAAAAUGAAGCAUGAAUUACACACAUAAACAACCAUUACUAACUACUAUUAUAUUUUUUUAUAAGAGACUAAGACAUUUUGUAUGACAGUUCAAGACUAAAGGACAUGGCUUGGAGAUUGACUGGUAGCUUGCUGUACCAAUAAUGAUAGCUUACAUUAGCUCCUCUGCACAAUGUGUAUGGUCGAACAUAGAGCUGGAGCGAAGCAGGGACACAGCCUGCCAACUGCAAGUGCAGCAUCAUCUGGUUAUUUUGUUCUGACCUCACUAAAGAAAUUUGAUACGACUUUGUCAAAUAAUGAUUUUAAUUGUGAAAAUUUAGGAACCAUAAUCAAUUGCAGUCAACACCAUAUACAUUUUAUGUUAUAGAUGUCACCUGUUUGGUUUACAUUUUAAAUCUCCCCCAAAGACGGCUCAUUGGUUUGUGCAGUAAUGUUAAAAAAACAUCAUGCCGAUGUGAAUGACCAAAGCGCUGUUGUUGUAUCAAGGCGCUAACAUUGAUAUUUGCCCUGCAACUCUGUCACCUCGCCUGCAAUAGUUAAUGUGGCCUUUUGUUGUGCCUCUUUCAAUUGGUGAGCAAUGUAUAACUUGAAAAAUGGUCACCAUCUGAAUGUUAUUGCAACAUACCAAUUAGCUAACGUAAAUGUCCCUUGAUUGCAUAAAUGAGUUAAAAUCUAGCUAGGCCUUCAGGGUUUGGACAGAAGGCUCCUGCCCACGUCAUUGCACCAGCCAUUCAACUUGAUUAGAGCAGCAUUUUGGAAUGAUAGUUGAAUCAACUACUGACAAUAUGACUUGUAAUGGGUGGGACUGUUUAUGAGGAGGCAAUUUGCUCAUUAUGCCUUUCUAUAAGAGCUGGAUAGAUGUUACUAACUGAGAGCAAAUAGCUAACACUUGCCUUGACUGCAUUUUUGAAGAUGUUCCAGCAGGUGGUUUCAACAAUUCUGCUGGCAAUUUUUUUAAGUACCUUAUCUACCUUUUAGAAGAUGAUCAUCAUUUGGUAAUUGUCACAGUUUUUUUUUUUGUGCAGCUUGCGUGCUUUUAGCUGUCUAUGAUAAUAUUAGUAUGUGACUAUGCAAGACUUACGGCUUGCAUUUAAAAUUUUGCAUUGUACUUGGUCAUUUCUCUUUGCUACGUGAACCAAUUGUAGUGCAUUUUGAUUGAAGCCUUGCCAAAGCCAAUUAAAA
Esox lucius (northern pike) is the source of this 2528-nucleotide long non-coding RNA. The record is from Ensembl. Lineage: Eukaryota; Metazoa; Chordata; Actinopteri; Esociformes; Esocidae.